AACGAACGCUGGCGGCGCGCUUAACACAUGCAAGUCGAACGAGAAGGCGUAGCAAUACGCUUGUACAGUGGCGAACGGGUGAGUAAUACGUGGGCGACCUACCCUCGAGUGGGGAAUAACCCGCCGAAAGGCGGGCUAAUGCCGCGUACGCUUCCAUCUUUAUGGAGGUGGAAGGAAAGCCGUGCCGUGGGCACGGCGCUCAAGGAUGGGCUCACGUCCUAUCAGCUUGUUGGAGGGUAACGGCCUACCAAGGCUCCGACGGGUAGCUGGUCUGAGAGGACGAUCAGCCACACUGGCACUGCGACACGGGCCAGACUCCUACGGGAGGCAGCAGUGAGGAAUAUUGCGCAAUGGGCGAAAGCCUGACGCAGCGAUGCCGCGUGGGGGAUGAAGGUCUUCGGAUUGUAAACCCCUUUUCGGGAGGGAAGAUGGGACGGGCAACCGUUCGGACGGUACCUCCAGAAGCAGCCACGGCUAACUUCGUGCCAGCCGCCGCGGUAA
RNAcentral lists this ribosomal RNA (501 nucleotides) under uncultured bacterium. RNAcentral's name for it is "bacterial SSU rRNA". It matches the Rfam family "Bacterial small subunit ribosomal RNA", at positions 28 to 523 of the family's 1533-position model. The record is from RNAcentral.